GCAAAAAAGGGGAUGUUGACGCUGCAUUUGUAGUAGUAGAAGAGAUGAGGAAGUCCAGAGUUUCUCAUCCUAACUUGAUUACUUACAGCACCCUCAUGGAUGGCUUAUGCCGAUGUGGAAGGCUUCAAGAUGCACUUGACCUUUUUGAGAAAAUGCUUGCUAAGGAUCAGAUUCCGCCAGAUGCAUUGACUUACAAUAUCUUAAUAAAUGCAUUUUGUCGUGCAGGAAAGGUGGAUAGAGCUAGGAACAUAAUAGGAUUCAUGAGGAAAAAUGGAUGUCAACCAAAUAUAGUUAAUUACACAGCUUUGAUGAAUGGAUUUU
This 321-nucleotide unclassified non-coding RNA is filed under the name Hevea brasiliensis (rubber tree). Lineage: Eukaryota; Viridiplantae; Streptophyta; Magnoliopsida; Malpighiales; Euphorbiaceae. The record is from RNAcentral.